RNAcentral lists this unclassified non-coding RNA (253 nucleotides) under fungal sp. RNAcentral's name for it is "partial internal transcribed spacer region". The stretch from base 1 to 46 matches the Rfam family "Eukaryotic small subunit ribosomal RNA", at positions 1786 to 1831 of the family's 1831-position model. RNAcentral also lists the same sequence under 1 other name. The record is from RNAcentral. Lineage: Eukaryota; Fungi.
AAGUCGUAACAAGGUAACCGUAGGUGAACCUGCGGUUGGAUCAUUAAAAAAUCUAAACCCAAGGGGGAGAGGGGCUUAACAGCCUCUUUCUUUCCUUAACAACACCUUGCGAACUAUUGAACACUUUUUUGGCGGAUGACUAGUGGAAACACUAUCGCCGCCAAACAAACAAACACCUUUAUAUUUUGGAACUGACUUUUUUCAUUAAACUAAUGGAAGAAAACAACUUUUAACAACGGAUCUCUUGGCUCUC